RNAcentral lists this long non-coding RNA (1092 nucleotides) under Cucumis sativus (cucumber). RNAcentral describes it as "long non-coding RNA (CSAT_LNC002094)". Lineage: Eukaryota; Viridiplantae; Streptophyta; Magnoliopsida; Cucurbitales; Cucurbitaceae. The record is from RNAcentral.
GAAAACUGAAUAAUCAUCUUCUUGGUCGAUGAAGAAAUUACGGAGCUUCAGAUGAAACGACGCCGUUCUCUCCGUAUCUUCGCCGGUGAAAGUGAUAGAAGAAGAAGAGUGGGUUUCACAAAUAUAUUCAAAGGUCUAAUCAUCACAGGUACUGACCUUUAUAGUUUAUUGUUACAUAGGCCUUCUUUUGUUGUUUUCUCAUCCAAAGGGAAACAUUUGUAGAGACCCAACUUUGUGUUGUUUUUAGAUCGAAAGAGAAUAAAUUGAUACAUUUAAAAUUUACAAAAUGUUUGCAUCUUAUUUUCUCUAUGGAUGUUCAAUAAAGUUGGGAGGAGAAAGGAGAAAAGAGAAGUGUAAUAAUGAAUGAGUGACGACGUGUUUGUAUUAAAUUCCAUAAAUGGGAAGACAACUUGCCCUUAGUGUCCACAUUUACCCCGGGGGUUCCCACAUAGACAUACCCACUUGCUCUUAAUAGAAACUUUAUGAUUAUUUUGUCAAUACCCUUUGCCCUAAUCCCAAUGUAAACCAAAUCCACCCACCCAUAUCUUAUAAUACUUCACAUGUUUUUGUUUAGGAGAGAAGGGUUGAAGUAUUAGUCAAUUUUCAAGUUUUAUGGAUACAAACACUAAGUAAUGUUUUUGUCAACUUUUUUUUUUUAUUUUAGGUUAUUUUCCUUUAUUCUAACUAAAUAUUUUUAUCAACCCACACGAAUCAAAAAACAUAAAGCAUACUAAAAGAAAUAAAAUCCUUUUCAUCUCAUAUCAAAAUACGAUGUCACAAAACCUUUGUUUAAUAGGUAUUAGAGUUGAACAUUUGUAAGUACCUCAUGUUGUAAACAAGUGUGAAGUGUUUUUCUAGAUAUUAGAAAUUUUAUGCAAUAAAGCAAAGAUGAAAGUUUAAUAUAUUUGAGUAAAUCGUUUUUAGUUGGGGAUAAAUGAAGCAGAGAAAUGGAUGGAAGACGGAACUAACCCGGCGGAGUACAGUGAAAGGCAUGAGGCCGAUCAGGACAAUAACACUUGAAAAAAUGAGUCGACUCAUCAAAUCCACAGUACCCACCACUUUUGUUACAAAAUUUACACUCUCCGGCCGUCC